GAAGUAAGAAAUUCAAAGGAAAGCUUCUAACUUUACCUUUAAGCUGUGAAAUUCAGUUUAUACUUCU
RNAcentral lists this transfer RNA (67 nucleotides) under Cryptolestes turcicus. RNAcentral's name for it is "tRNA-Ser". The record is from RNAcentral. Lineage: Eukaryota; Metazoa; Arthropoda; Insecta; Coleoptera; Laemophloeidae.